Molecule: long non-coding RNA, 300 nt
Organism: Lycium ferocissimum
Lineage: Eukaryota; Viridiplantae; Streptophyta; Magnoliopsida; Solanales; Solanaceae
Exons: 2
Source: RefSeq, a predicted model, not a curated record
GUAUUUUCGGCCACUUAAAGUGCUGAAGGACAAAAAUUAAAAACCAGCAAUUUGAGGGGUAAAAAUUAAAGACCACCCCUUAUUGCAUUUGUGCGAAUGACCCAGGCAUUGGGAUACAGAGAGGCUUUCUUAAUUAUACUUACCUAAAUUAUCUCCAGAUUUGAAUGUUUGAUUAGCAGCCCACUUCUGGUAACCAGCUUUUCCACCAGGAAUAUUCCAUCCAAAAUCACCACCAACAUUAUGUGUUUCUGCAGCACCACAACUUAUAACGCACACUAAAACCAAAAUAAAACUAACAAA